AGCAUCAGAGCCGCCCGGAAGGGGUCUGCCCUGGCAUCUGACUGUCAGAGGGAAGGGGCCCGAGAAUCUGCACCCCCGGCAAGGUUCGCCCCACUGCUGAUCCUGAGAACCAUCGUUUCGGCAAAUUCUGUUCAUCACGAGGACCUGGUUGGUUCUCCGACCGUGCAUGGUUUGGGAGGAAGCCCGGGGAGACUUAGCUCCUGACUUCUCUCAGCCCUCGGCCCGGGAUGCGCGGGGCUCUCAGAAAGCGGCGGCCAGGGCAGCUAGGGUGGUCUCAGGCUGAUGCUCCGUGCUCCCCGUUUGCACACAGCCCCGUCAGCUCCAUGCUUCCUAAAAAUCACUCCCCAAAAGCAUGUUUUGCGGCAGUGGCGGCGGCGGCCACGGAGCACUAGGAAUUUCCUGUGGCGAGGAGGGAGGCGGCAGAGCCACCAGCCGUCCCCACUCGCUCGGCAGGGCCACGUGCCCCACCCCCUCGAGCACAUGUCUCCGCCGCACCGCCGCAGCCGGCUGUGUAUGAGCGAGUUGUUGUGGUAGAAAUGGAGCAGGCUGCACAUGCCCGGGCCAUGUGACCCGGGCGGCCCGCGUGAGUCCUGUCCUCCGGCGGCCGGGCGGGGCGGCAGGCGGGGCGAGCGAGAGGGCACCGGGCUCCCUCGGGCCCCCAGCCCUGGACCCUGCUGUCCCUCUGGUCCCUUCGGAGGCGGGCGAACAAACGGCAGCAGGGAGAUAGGAUCGUCCUAGGCACACUCCCCUCCCAGACAGCCCUCGGGGUUCACACAGCCCGGAGCCCCGGCCCCCCAAGAACAAAGGGGCUCCCCAAGCCGUAGAAUCCUCACCCCAGCCCGCCCUGGCCCAGAGCCCAGAUCCGGUUUCCCUGUGGGUCCCCACAUGUUGGGGAGCCUGUCCCCUCUUCCUAGGAAGGAAUGUGCCGCACACAGGCGGCUACUGCCCACCCCGGGAUCAGAACAAAGAGAAGCCGUGGGUGCGGGGGUCUGGCGCCAGGCGGCAGGGUCCUUCCUUCAGCAGCGGCCGGCGAGGUCGCCGCACAGGAAGGGGAAACGCUGCCUGCCAAGUGCCUGGAGUGCAGAGCGAAGGAGGGCGCACGUGACACCCCAACCCCGGACCCCACUUGCAGCCUCUGCCCUGGCCCUGCGGGUGACCCGGUUUCCGAGCCGCGGCGCCCCUCGCCGGCCGGGCCGGGCGCCGCGCCGCAGUCAGGCGGACAGUAGGUUACCAGGAGCAAGCACACCCCGAGUGCGCGCGACCCACAUUCGCUCAUCGCGCCGAAACUUCGCAGAUCCUGCAUUGCAGAGGGUGCAAACUGCGCAUUCUAAUGAGGCGAAGCUCCUUCCUGCGGCAUUGAAAAUCUCUCCGGCAAAUUGCUUCUCCCGCCCUCCCCCCCAUAAUUUAGAAAAGGGGCCAGGAUCACGAAUUUGCGAAGUUGCAUCCUUUCUCUCGCCCUCCCCUGCCUCCCUCCGCGGAGACCCCGCAGCCCUUGCAGCUGCAGACCCGGGCGGCGCGGUGGGGGGUGGGGAGGACCUCGAGGCCCUUCCUUCUCCUCGGGCAGGCUGA
RNAcentral lists this long non-coding RNA (1569 nucleotides) under Chinchilla lanigera (long-tailed chinchilla). Its description in RNAcentral is "lncRNA (ENSCLAG00000023069.1)". Lineage: Eukaryota; Metazoa; Chordata; Mammalia; Rodentia; Chinchillidae. The record is from RNAcentral.